UAGUGUAGUGGUAGAAGUAGUAAUACAUAUAGAAACAUUAAGAGCUUUUGAAGGAAACAGAAUCAACCCACCACCUCUCCCACUCCUUGUUCCUUUCCCAAUGCACUGCACUAUCUAUGAUUCUCUCCUCUCUCUCUAACUCCAUGUCUGACCAGAGAGAUCUCCGAAGAAGGAAGCUUCCGGCCAAUCGGAGAACCGCCAGACGAUCGCCUCGUCCUAGAAUCAAUUCGGAGGCGGGAAGGAGUCCAUCGGAAUACGCCAAUAUUCUGACGAGCUACAAGUCGGAGCCGAUUCUGCCAAACGCCGGCUGCGGAGAGGUGGUGGUGAUCGUAGAGCAGCAGGAGGAGGAGGAAGUGCUUUAUCGGCCAUAUUUUUGCCCCCUUCUGAACCCUUACAGCGGUACAAUAGAGAUGCAAAGGUAGUGGUAAAUGUGACGGUUGAGGGAAGUCCAGGAGCAGUUAGAACGUUGGUUAAGUUAGGAUCCAAGCUCGUCAUCAAAAAAUACAACCAAGAAGGCAGAACGCCGCCUCUUCACGAAACCGCAGCUGCUUAUUUUGAGCUUCACCACUCAUUUUUCAGUCUUGAGAGCGAGUUCUCUUUCAAUAUAAAUAAACAUCAAUUUCUAGUUGGAUA
Long non-coding RNA from Salvia splendens (bonfire salvia), 633 nucleotides. RefSeq lists it as uncharacterized. The transcript is spliced from 2 exons. The record is from RefSeq and is a predicted model, not a curated record. NCBI's taxonomy places the organism in Eukaryota, Viridiplantae, Streptophyta, Magnoliopsida, Lamiales, Lamiaceae.